RNAcentral lists this ribosomal RNA (465 nucleotides) under Vreelandella stevensii. RNAcentral describes it as "partial 16S ribosomal RNA". It matches the Rfam family "Bacterial small subunit ribosomal RNA", at positions 338 to 795 of the family's 1533-position model. Lineage: Bacteria; Pseudomonadati; Pseudomonadota; Gammaproteobacteria; Oceanospirillales; Halomonadaceae. The record is from RNAcentral.
CCUACGGGGGGCAGCAGUGGGGAAUAUUGGACAAUGGGGGGAACCCUGAUCCAGCCAUGCCGCGUGUGUGAAGAAGGCCCUCGGGUUGUAAAGCACUUUCAGUGAGGAAGAACGCCUGGUGGUUAAUACCCAUCAGGAAAGACAUCACUCACAGAAGAAGCACCGGCUAACUCCGUGCCAGCAGCCGCGGUAAUACGGAGGGUGCGAGCGUUAAUCGGAAUUACUGGGCGUAAAGCGCGCGUAGGUGGCUUGAUAAACCGGUUGUGAAAGCCCCGGGCUCAACCUGGGAACGGCAUCCGGAACUGUCAAGCUAGAGUGCAGGAGAGGAAGGUAGAAUUCCCGGUGUAGCGGUGAAAUGCGUAGAGAUCGGGAGGAAUACCAGUGGCGAAGGCGGCCUUCUGGACUGACACUGACACUGAGGUGCGAAAGCGUGGGUAGCAAACAGGAUUAGAUACCCUAGUAGUC